AGGACGAACGCUGGCGGCGUGCCUAACACAUGCAAGUCGAACGAGAAAGUGGAGCAAUCCAUGAGUAAAGUGGCGCACGGGUGAGUAACACGUGACUAACCUACCCUUGAAUGGGGGAUAACCUAGAGAAAUCUGGGCUAAUACCGCAUAAUACCUUCGGGUCAAAGGAGCAAUUCGCUUAAGGAGGGGGUCGCGGCCGAUUAGUUAGUUGGCGGGGUAAUGGCCCACCAAGACUAUGAUCGGUAUCCGGCCUGAGAGGGCGCACGGACACACUGGAACUGAAACACGGUCCAGACUCCUACGGGAGGCAGCAGUGGGGAAUUUUGCGCAAUGGGGGAAACCCUGACGCAGCAACGCCGCGUGGAGGAUGAAGUCCCUUGGGACGUAAACUCCUUUCGAUCGGGACGAUUAUGACGGUACCGGAAGAAGAAGCCCCGGCUAACUUCGCGCCAGCAGCCGC
RNAcentral lists this ribosomal RNA (460 nucleotides) under uncultured bacterium. RNAcentral's name for it is "SSU rRNA". It matches the Rfam family "Bacterial small subunit ribosomal RNA", at positions 26 to 518 of the family's 1533-position model. The record is from RNAcentral.